Molecule: long non-coding RNA, 1339 nt
Filed under: Salmo salar (Atlantic salmon)
Lineage: Eukaryota; Metazoa; Chordata; Actinopteri; Salmoniformes; Salmonidae
Description: lncRNA (ENSSSAG00000090341.1)
Source: RNAcentral
UAUAACUACAAUGUUAGCUGUAGGCCUGUCCUCUGGUCCUCCUGGUGGUUUAACUACAAUGUUAGCUGUAGGCCAGCCCUCUGGUCCUCCUGGUGGUUUAACUACAAUGUUAGCUGUAGGCCAGCCCUCUGGUCCUCCUGCUGUUAUAACUACAAUGUUAGCUGUAGGCCAGCCCUCUGGUCCUCCUGGUGGUUCAACUACAAUGUUAGCUGUAGGCCAGCCCUCUGGUCCUCCUGCUGUUAUAACUACAAUGUUAGCUGUAGGCCUGUCCUCUGGUCCUCCUGGUGGUUUAACUACAAUGUUAGCUGUAGACCUGCCCUCUGGUCCUCCUGGUGGUUUAACUACAAUGUUAGCUGUAGGCCAGCCCUCUGGUCCUCCUGCUGUUAUAACUACAAUGUUAGCUGUAGGCCUGUCCUCUGGUCCUCCUGGUGGUUCAACUACAAUGUUAGCUGUAGGCCAGUCCUCUGGUCCUCCUGGUGGUUCAACUACAAUGUUAGCUGUAGGCCAGUCCUCUGGUCCUCCUGGUGGUUCAACUACAAUGUUAGCUGUAGACCUGUCCUCUGGUCCUCCUGCUGUUAUAACUACAAUGUUAGCUGUAGGCCAGCCCUCUGGUCCUCCUGGUGGUUUAACUACAAUGUUAGCUGUAGGCCUGUCCUCUGGUCCUCCUGGUGGUUUAACUACAAUGUUAGCUGUAGGCCAGCCCUCUGGUCCUCCUGGUGGUUUAACUACAAUGUUAGCUGUAGGCCAGCCCUCUGGUCCUCCUGGUGUUAUAACUACAAUGUUAGCUGUAGGCCUGUCCUCUGGUCCUCCUGCUGUUAUAACUACAAUGUUAGCUGUAGGCCUGUCCUCUGGUCCUCCUGGUGGUUUAACUACAAUGUUAGCUGUAGGCCAGCCCUCUGGUCCUCCUGGUGGUUUAACUACAAUGUUAGCUGUAGGCCAGCCCUCUGGUCCUCCUGGUGGUUUAACUACAAUGUUAGCUGUAGGCCAGCCCUCUGGUCCUCCUGGUGUUGUAACUACAAUGUUAGCUGUAGGCCUGUCCUCUGGUCCUCCUGGUGGUUUAACUACAAUGUUAGCUGUAGGCCUGUCCUCUGGUCCUCCUGGUGGUUUAACUACAAUGUUAGCUGUAGGCCAGCCCUCUGGUCCUCCUGGUGGUUUAACUACAAUGUUAGCUGUAGGCCUGUCCUCGGGUCCUCCUGGUGGUUCAACUACAAUGCUAGCUGUAGGCCUGUCCUCUGGUCCUCCUGGUGGUUUAACUACAAUGUUAGCUGUAGGCCUGUCCUCUGGUCCUCCUGGUGGUUUAACUACAAUGUUAGCUGUAGGCCUGCCCUCUGGUCCUCCU